RNAcentral lists this ribosomal RNA (478 nucleotides) under uncultured bacterium. RNAcentral's name for it is "partial 16S ribosomal RNA". It matches the Rfam family "Bacterial small subunit ribosomal RNA", at positions 28 to 523 of the family's 1533-position model. The record is from RNAcentral.
GACGAACGCUGGCGGCGUGCUUAACACAUGCAAGUCGAGCGAUGAAGUUCCUUCGGGAACGGAUUAGCGGCGGACGGGUGAGUAACACGUGGGUAACCUGCCUCAUAGAGGGGAAUAGCCUUUCGAAAGGAAGAUUAAUACCGCAUAAGAUUGUAGUUUCGCAUGAAACAGCAAUUAAAGGAGUAAUCCGCUAUGAGAUGGACCCGCGUCGCAUUAGCUAGUUGGUGAGGUAACGGCUUACCAAGGCGACGAUGCGUAGCCGACCUGAGAGGGUGAUCGGCCACAUUGGGACUGAGACACGGCCCAGACUCCUACGGGAGGCAGCAGUGGGGAAUAUUGCACAAUGGGGGAAACCCUGAUGCAGCAACGCCGCAUGAGUGAUGACGGUCUUCGGAUUGUAAAGCUCUGUCUUCAGGGACGAUAAUGACGGUACCUGAGGAGGAAGCCACGGCUAACUACGUGCCAGCAGCCGCGGUAA